GUAGUCAUAUGCUUGUCUCAAAGAUUAAGCCAUGCAUGUCUAAGUAUAAGCAAUUUAUACAGUGAAACUGCGAAUGGCUCAUUAAAUCAGUUAUCGUUUAUUUGAUAGUUCCUUUACUACAUGGUAUAACUGUGGUAAUUCUAGAGCUAAUACAUGCUUAAAAUCUCGACCCUUUGGAAGAGAUGUAUUUAUUAGAUAAAAAAUCAAUGUCUUCGGACUCUUUGAUGAUUCAUAAUAACUUUUCGAAUCGCAUGGCCUUGUGCUGGCGAUGGUUCAUUCAAAUUUCUGCCCUAUCAACUUUCGAUGGUAGGAUAGUGGCCUACCAUGGUUUCAACGGGUAACGGGGAAUG
Molecule: ribosomal RNA, 350 nt
Filed under: uncultured fungus
Lineage: Eukaryota; Fungi
Description: SSU rRNA
Rfam family: Eukaryotic small subunit ribosomal RNA
Source: RNAcentral